GAGCACCUGUCCCCAGCAUAGUGUUGGGAUGAGACGUGCCUCAGGAAGGUGUCCCUCACCCAUGGCAUUCCCCCCUCCCUGCCUCUCCCCAUGGAGACCAACCUCCCCUUUCAACCAAGGAGCCAUCACCACUGAGAGCACACACUCCUCUUAACAAACACCCAUCCAGAUGGCCCAAAACAAGGACGUGCUCCAUCAGUGAUUCAGGCCAUGACUUAACAGUCCCCAUACAAUGAUGCACAAACAUCUUCACCAUUCCUGAGAAGAGAGCUCCAAAAGUAAGGGAGAUCGUGGUUGCUGGUGGUGGUGUUUUGCUAGGAACCCCAGCUCGUAUUGCUAUUUCUGGGGGGAUGACUGUGGAGAAGGAAAAAAGCAAAUGGAAGAG
This 385-nucleotide long non-coding RNA is filed under the name Gallus gallus (chicken). Its description in RNAcentral is "lncRNA (ENSGALG00010006718.1)". The record is from RNAcentral. Lineage: Eukaryota; Metazoa; Chordata; Aves; Galliformes; Phasianidae.